UACGUAGGGUGCGAGCGUUGUCCGGAAUUACUGGGCGUAAAGAGCUCGUAGGUGGUUUGUCGCGUUGUUCGUGAAAUCUCACGGCUUAACUGUGAGCGUGCGGGCGAUACGGGCAGACUUGAGUACUGCAGGGGAGACUGGAAUUCCUGGUGUAGCGGUGGAAUGCGCAGAUAUCAGGAGGAACACCGGUGGCGAAGGCGGAUCUCUGGGCCAUUACUGACGCUGAGGAGCGAAAGCGUGGGGAGCGAACAGG
This 253-nucleotide ribosomal RNA is filed under the name uncultured bacterium. RNAcentral's name for it is "partial 16S ribosomal RNA". It matches the Rfam family "Bacterial small subunit ribosomal RNA", at positions 524 to 776 of the family's 1533-position model. The record is from RNAcentral.